AAUUUGAUGUGGGUAGUUUAAUAGUUCUUUUUAGUAAUUUAGAAGACCGAUUGUUGCCCUGCAUAAUUUCCUCAGCAGCCCACUUCCCUCAACGUUUGAUCUGGGGCAAUUCCCUGAACCAAAAUUUUUAUUUUAUCCGCCCAGUCCAUUUCUUUUUGACCCAGUCUGCUUAAACCCGACCCGUUCCCCUUUUCAUGCUCCUCAACGACAACAAUACUCAGAAGCGUGCAACAUCCAUCCCAGCACCUAAGUAACAAAACGACAAUCCUAGAAGCAAUCCAAUUGUUUCUCUCGCUUUGGGUACUACUCAUUUUUGCGUGUUUCCCCUUUCGCGUGUGAUACGUUCCCUUCCCCCUUUGUUCUGUUGUUUCCAACCUCUAGACUGUGUACUCGUACGAACGACAACAACAAUAGACGCAGAAUCGUCCUUGUGAGCUUGGAGAUGGCGCCUGCGGGGCUCCAAGGACGACUGAGUCGAUCCCAAUUUCUAUGCAUUUAUAUAGAGAAUUAUUUGGGAAAUAUUUGGAUUUUGGGAUGAAGUUGAAGUUAAAUUUCAAACCUACGGUAAAACUCGAUUUUGCCCUCGCCUUUCCCCUCUCAGAAUCCGAAAACCCUAAUAUUUUUCGAUAAGUAUUCUCUUUCUCACUGGUCUUGGGGGGAUUUUUGUAGCGAAAAAAAGAGUGCACAGAGACAGGAAUUUUGGGAGAAACUUGCUAAAUGCUUGUGAUAUUCUUCUGUGUAAAUAAAGUUCAACGAAAGUUAGGAAGAAAUUUUCUUUCAGAAUGAAAUUCCUUGGCUAAAGCGGAAAGAAAUAAAAGCUAUAGAAAAUAUUUAACGUACACUAAGUGUACGAGACAACAAUUUCCAGCAUUUUGAGUUCAUUAUCACGCAGAGAUUUUCUCACUUGUUGCUUCCGUUCCGAUUUUCUCGUGGAAAAGGUUGUUUCCCCUACUCGUUCCGUCCACAGUUCGUUGCCAUCAACAAGUGAGUAUACCAACGACUUUGACUUGCCCUCAGCUCUAAUCAGUCUCAACACAUCAGAUUCAAGGUUGCAGGAAGAGGUGGACGCUAGAGAUACAUGUUGACGCUGAAACUAUCCGGACGUGGGGCAUCCAUCCGGACUUGGUAGGCCCUCAUGCUUUCGAGGAUGCUUUCCCAUUAUAUUCUAACUUAGUUAUAUGAUUGAGCUAGUGGAGUAUGUUCCACUAGCGUUUCUUUCCGCUUUUGUUCAGACAUUGUAUUGGUGCCAUUUUGGCAAGUAUACAUUUAGUUUUAUAUUGAA
Molecule: long non-coding RNA, 1282 nt
Organism: Solanum lycopersicum (tomato)
Lineage: Eukaryota; Viridiplantae; Streptophyta; Magnoliopsida; Solanales; Solanaceae
Source: RefSeq, a predicted model, not a curated record